UACGGGGGGUGCGAGCGUUGUUCGGAAUCACUGGGCGUAAAGAGCGCGUAGGCGGUCUAUUAAGUCAGGUGUGAAAGCCCUGGGCUUAACCCCGGAAGUGCACUUGAAACUAAGAGACUUGAGUAUGGGAGAGGGAAGCGGAAUUCCUGGUGUAGAGGUGAAAUGCGUAGAUAUUAGGAGGAACACCGGUGGCGAUGGCGGUUCUCUGGAUCGAUACUGACGCUGAGGCGCGAAGGCGUGGGGAGCAAACAGG
RNAcentral lists this ribosomal RNA (253 nucleotides) under uncultured bacterium. RNAcentral describes it as "partial 16S ribosomal RNA". It matches the Rfam family "Bacterial small subunit ribosomal RNA", at positions 524 to 776 of the family's 1533-position model. The record is from RNAcentral.